RNAcentral lists this unclassified non-coding RNA (313 nucleotides) under fungal sp. RNAcentral describes it as "partial internal transcribed spacer region". The stretch from base 1 to 46 matches the Rfam family "Eukaryotic small subunit ribosomal RNA", at positions 1786 to 1831 of the family's 1831-position model. Lineage: Eukaryota; Fungi. The record is from RNAcentral. RNAcentral also lists the same sequence under 1 other name.
AAGUCGUAACAAGGUUUCCGUAGGUGAACCUGCGGAAGGAUCAUUGCCGAACGGACGCCCGGGUUCCCGAAAGGGAAGACCGGGUGUCUUUUUCGACCAACCCAUGUGAACUCGUUUAAUGUGUUUAACAGUGAUGGGCGGUGGGUGUGUGGUGGACAACACCCCCAACCAACCACCGACCCUAUCUGUCCAAACAUUUUUAACAAACCACAUUUCUGAACACUCUUGACUGAGACUUAUAGGUCACGCCUAAAAAACGUUGAUCUCAAAAACCUAACCAUUACAACUUUUAACAACGGAUAUCUUGGCUCGC